AGUGUGUCCACUCCUCCCCGGCCAAACUGGUCACCUCUGUCACCUCUGCUGCACCCGGCCCCUUCGUUGUCAGCGAGCUCCAUUCAGGGCUGAGCAAGAAUGGCCUCCAGGAUCCCACAAGGAAAGGCGGGGCUGCGGUUUGAACCCAGAUCUCUCCAGACUGUUCCACUACAACCCAUGGCUGCCCAUGAGAACCACCUGGAAAGCUUUGGACAACACCGAAACCCAGUUCCCAACCCCAGACCGCAAGUAGAGUCCCUGGUCAGGGGCCCCACCCAGCCCUGUGAUCCCAGCUCCACCAGCAGAGGCAGCAGAUCGGGGGUCCAGGGCCUCAGUGCACUCCCAUCCCCGUCGGGGUGCUCCGGCCCUGCUCCUCCACCCCUCAGCCCUGGCUCCCAGCACUCCAGACUCACACUUGGUUUUGGAGUCUUUGCCCAGGAGUAACCCCCAAACGUGUCCUGGUCCUUCCUACGGUGGCAGGCACUGGGGAACCCUCAGCUCUGAGUGUGGGAACACGUGCUGGGACUUAUCGG
RNAcentral lists this long non-coding RNA (533 nucleotides) under Homo sapiens (human). RNAcentral describes it as "non-protein coding lnc-MLYCD-2:6". Lineage: Eukaryota; Metazoa; Chordata; Mammalia; Primates; Hominidae. The record is from RNAcentral.